GCGGCAGUGGCGAAAUUUGGUAUACGUUUUAUCUUGAGGUGGUAAUAUACAUUAUGUAUUUGAGGGUUCAAAUCCCUCCUUCCGCA
RNAcentral lists this transfer RNA (86 nucleotides) under Guillardia theta. Its description in RNAcentral is "tRNA-Leu". It matches the Rfam family "tRNA". From Rfam's summary of the family: Transfer RNA (tRNA) molecules are approximately 80 nucleotides in length. Lineage: Eukaryota; Cryptophyceae; Pyrenomonadales; Geminigeraceae. The record is from RNAcentral.